CCUACGGGAGGCAGCAGUGGGGAAUAUUGGACAAUGGGGGCAACUCUGACGCAGCCAUGCCGCGUGAGUGAAGAAGGUUUUCGGAUUGUAAAGCUCUUUCAGAUGUGACGAUGAUGACGGUAGCAUCUAAAGAAGCCCCGGCUAACUUCGUGCCAGCAGCCGCGGUAUUACGAAGGGGGCAAGCGUUGUUCGGAAUUACUGGGCGUAACGGUAAUGUAGGCGGGUUAGUAAGAUAGUGGUGAAAUCCCAGGGCUGAACUUUGGAAUUGCCAUUGGAACUAUCAGACUAGAAUUACAGAGAGGAGAGUGGAAUACCCAGUGUAGCGGUGAAAUGCGUAGAUAUUGGGUAGAAUACCAGUGGCGAAGGCGACUAUCUGGCUGUACAUUGACGCUGAGGCUCGAAAGCAUGGGGAGCAAACAGGAUUAGAUACCCGAGUAGUC
RNAcentral lists this ribosomal RNA (440 nucleotides) under uncultured bacterium. Its description in RNAcentral is "partial 16S ribosomal RNA". It matches the Rfam family "Bacterial small subunit ribosomal RNA", at positions 338 to 795 of the family's 1533-position model. The record is from RNAcentral.